ACAGGAGAAAUCAUUGAGCUCCUCCCAUCUUUGCCAGAAGCUUCAGUGUUUAAGCAGCCAGAGCCAAGAGGCUUCAGCACCAGGGGGGUGCACUGGAGGGCUCCUGGUCCUGCCCACGCUGUGGGGGAGCCAGGGCUGGCACAAGGACUCGUGCAGGUGCUGCUCUGGCACUGGAGCUGUUGCCCUGUGGAGCCAUUUUAAAGGUGUGAUUAUGGAACAUUUUGGAGGCCGUUUCUGGAAUUCCAUUUGUAGCUGGAUCUCGCUCCGAGUGCAGCAGUCCAGAGUUUUUGAUUUAGAAUUUGAAGAGUAUUUGGUGUUGGAGGAAAUAAAGUUUUUGGAUAUGGUUGAGUUGUAUUUUUAAUGUUAGUAAGGACUACUUUUGGCACAUUAUUUUGAUGUUUUGUUUGGUUAUGGGGAGGGUCUCCUGUUAGAUGUGUUAAGUGUGAGAUAGGCAUUAGGACUCUGUCUAAUGGUUUAUGAGCCUGUUAGGGAGGAGGUGUUAUUUUAAGUCUUAUAAAAUACACUGAGAAUUAGUUAAAAUCAUGGAAGAAACAUUAUGGUAAUUAAAGGGUGUUAUGUUAAAGAGCUAUAAAUCUUUUUUAAUAACUGCUUGACAUAAGGUGAGCUUAAUCUACUUCUUCUGCCCUAGAAACCAUCACACACGUCCGCAUCAAUGGCACGACCUCUGCCCACUGCUCCUGUUUCACCCAACCAAAAUCAAGAGCAAAAGUUGGUUGGGCUUUAA
Non-coding RNA from Taeniopygia guttata (zebra finch), 745 nucleotides. The record is from RefSeq and is a predicted model, not a curated record. NCBI's taxonomy places the organism in Eukaryota, Metazoa, Chordata, Aves, Passeriformes, Estrildidae.